GCCAGGUGCAGUGGUGCAUGCCUGUAAUCCCAGCUGCUGGGGAGGCUGAGAUAGGAGGAUCACAAGUUCAAAGCCAGCCUCAGCAAUAGCAAGGCACUAAGCAACUCAGGGAGACCCAGUCUCUA
RNAcentral lists this small RNA (125 nucleotides) under Marmota monax (woodchuck). Lineage: Eukaryota; Metazoa; Chordata; Mammalia; Rodentia; Sciuridae. The record is from RNAcentral.